GAUGAACGCUGGCGGCGUGCCUAAUACAGCAAGUCGAGCGAACAGAUGAGGAGCUUGCUCCUCUGACGUUAGCGGCGGACGGGUGAGUAACACGUGGAUAACCUACCUAUAAGACUGGGAUAACUUCGGGAAACCGGAGCUAAUACCGGAUAAUAUAUUGAACCGCAUGGUUCAAUAGUGAAAGACGGUUUUGCUGUCACUUAUAGAUGGAUCCGCGCCGCAUUAGCUAGUUGGUAAGGUAACGGCUUACCAAGGCAACGAUGCGUAGCCGACCUGAGAGGGUGAUCGGCCACACUGGAACUGAGACACGGUCCAGACUCCUACGGGAGGCAGCAGUAGGGAAUCUUCCGCAAUGGGCGAAAGCCUGACGGAGCAACGCCGCGUGAGUGAUGAAGGUCUUCGGAUCGUAAAACUCUGUUAUUAGGGAAGAACAAAUGUGUAAGUAACUAUGCACGUCUUGACGGUACCUAAUCAGAAAGCCACGGCUAACUACGUG
Molecule: ribosomal RNA, 496 nt
Filed under: uncultured bacterium
Lineage: Bacteria
Description: partial 16S ribosomal RNA
Rfam family: Bacterial small subunit ribosomal RNA
Source: RNAcentral